Molecule: ribosomal RNA, 484 nt
Filed under: uncultured bacterium
Lineage: Bacteria
Description: partial 16S ribosomal RNA
Rfam family: Bacterial small subunit ribosomal RNA
Source: RNAcentral
GGGGGGGGGUGGGGGGGGGGCUGGCAGGUGGAAGUCGGGCGGUGGGGAGAGGGUGGCUUCGCUUGGGGGCGGCGGGCGGGUGAGUGAUGCCUAGGAAUCUGCCUGGUCGUGGGGGAUAACGUUCGGAAACGGCCGCUAAUACCGCAUACGUCCUACGGGAGACAGCAGGGGACCUUCGGUCCUUGCGCUGUCAGGUGAGCCUAGGCCUGAUUAGCUGGGUGGUGGGGUAAUGGCUCACCAAGGCGACGAUCCGUAACUGGUCUGAGAGGAGGAUCAGUCACACUGGAACUGAGACACGGUCCAGACUCCUACGGGAGGCAGCAGUGGGGAAUAUUGGACAAUGGGCGAAAGCCUGAUCCAGCCAUGCCGCGUGUGUGAAGAAGGUCUUCGGAUUGUAAAGCACUUUAAGUUGGGAGGAAGGGCAGUAAAUUAAUACGUUGCUGUUUUGACGUUACCGACAGAAUAAGCACCGGCUAACUCUGUG